AGAGUUUGAUCAUGGCUCAGAUUGAACGCUGGCGGCAGGCCUAACACAUGCAAGUCGAACGGUAACAGGAAGCAGCUUGCUGCUUCGCUGACGAGUGGCGGACGGGUGAGUAAUGUCUGGGAAACUGCCUGAUGGAGGGGGAUAACUACUGGAAACGGUGGCUAAUACCGCAUAAUGUCGCAAGACCAAAGAGGGGGACCUUCGGGCCUCUUGCCAUCAGAUGUGCCCAGAUGGGAUUAGCUUGUUGGUGAGGUAACGGCUCACCAAGGCGACGAUCCCUAGCUGGUCUGAGAGGAUGACCAGCCACACUGGAACUGAGACACGGUCCAGACUCCUACGGGAGGCAGCAGUGGGGAAUAUUGCACAAUGGGCGCAAGCCUGAUGCAGCCAUGCCGCGUGUAUGAAGAAGGCCUUCGGGUUGUAAAGUACUUUCAGCGGGGAGGAAGGUGUUGUGGUUAAUAACCACAGCAAUUGACGUUACCCGCAGAAGAAGCACCGGCUAACUCCGUGCCAGCAGCCGCGGUAAUACGGAGGGUGCAAGCGUUAAUCGGAAUUACUGGGCGUAAAGCGCACGCAGGCGGUCUGUCAAGUCGGAUGUGAAAUCCCCGGGCUCAACCUGGGAACUGCAUUCGAAACUGGCAGGCUUGAGUCUUGUAGAGGGGGGUAGAAUUCCAGGUGUAGCGGUGAAAUGCGUAGAGAUCUGGAGGAAUACCGGUGGCGAAGGCGGCCCCCUGGACAAAGACUGACGCUCAGGUGCGAAAGCGUGGGGAGCAAACAGGAUUAGAUACCCUGGUAGUCCACGCCGUAAACGAUGUCUACUUGGAGGUUGUGCCCUUGAGGCGUGGCUUCCGGAGCUAACGCGUUAAGUAGACCGCCUGGGGAGUACGGCCGCAAGGUUAAAACUCAAAUGAAUUGACGGGGGCCCGCACAAGCGGUGGAGCAUGUGGUUUAAUUCGAUGCAACGCGAAGAACCUUACCUGGUCUUGACAUCCACAGAACUUUCCAGAGAUGGAUUGGUGCCUUCGGGAACUGUGAGACAGGUGCUGCAUGGCUGUCGUCAGCUCGUGUUGUGAAAUGUUGGGUUAAGUCCCGCAACGAGCGCAACCCUUAUCCUUUGUUGCCAGCGGUCCGGCCGGGAACUCAAAGGAGACUGCCAGUGAUAAACUGGAGGAAGGUGGGGAUGACGUCAAGUCAUCAUGGCCCUUACGACCAGGGCUACACACGUGCUACAAUGGCGCAUACAAAGAGAAGCGACCUCGCGAGAGCAAGCGGACCUCAUAAAGUGCGUCGUAGUCCGGAUUGGAGUCUGCAACUCGACUCCAUGAAGUCGGAAUCGCUAGUAAUCGUGGAUCAGAAUGCCACGGUGAAUACGUUCCCGGGCCUUGUACACACCGCCCGUCACACCAUGGGAGUGGGUUGCAAAAGAAGUAGGUAGCUUAACCUUCGGGAGGGCGCUUACCACUUUGUGAUUCAUGACUGGGGUGAAGUCGUAACAAGGUAACCGUAGGGGAACCUGCGGUUG
Molecule: ribosomal RNA, 1522 nt
Filed under: Salmonella enterica
Lineage: Bacteria; Pseudomonadati; Pseudomonadota; Gammaproteobacteria; Enterobacterales; Enterobacteriaceae
Also listed under: 1 other name
Description: bacterial SSU rRNA
Rfam family: Bacterial small subunit ribosomal RNA
Source: RNAcentral